Molecule: ribosomal RNA, 511 nt
Filed under: uncultured bacterium
Lineage: Bacteria
Description: bacterial SSU rRNA
Rfam family: Bacterial small subunit ribosomal RNA
Source: RNAcentral
GAGUUUGAUCCUGGCUCAGAUUGAACGCUGGCGGCAGGCCUAACACAUGCAAGUCGAGCGGUAGAGAGAAGCUUGCUUCUCUUGAGAGCGGCGGACGGGUGAGUAAUGCCUAGGAAUCUGCCUGGUAGUGGGGGAUAACGCUCGGAAACGGACGCUAAUACCGCAUACGUCCUACGGGAGAAAGCAGGGGACCUUCGGGCCUUGCGCUAUCAGAUGAGCCUAGGUCGGAUUAGCUAGUUGGUGAGGUAAUGGCUCACCAAGGCGACGAUCCGUAACUGGUCUGAGAGGAUGAUCAGUCACACUGGAACUGAGACACGGUCCAGACUCCUACGGGAGGCAGCAGUGGGGAAUAUUGGACAAUGGGCGAAAGCCUGAUCCAGCCAUGCCGCGUGUGUGAAGAAGGUCUUCGGAUUGUAAAGCACUUUAAGUUGGGAGGAAGGGCAGGUAAAUUAAUACUUUGCUGUUUUGACGUUACCGACAGAAUAAGCACGGCUAACUCUGUGCUAGCACG